GCCUUACAGGUGUUUUGUUAGAAGUAACUAGCAGAAGACAAGUAUGGGAAGAUUUUGUGAAGCUGGUCUUUGGAGCAGACCUCAGAGAGCCCUGCAGGGACCCCGGGAUCUGCAUGGGGGUGAGACCGAGAAAGGGGGUGUAUGAAGGAGAUGUGUCUAUAUCUCCUAGUCUGCGGUGAAACGCUCAACCAAGGAGCUCGGAGCACUUCCCAGCGAAAUCUUAGUCUCACCAGACCCCUGUGAGGUGGAGCCUCCCUAUGCAAGAAAGACCUGGUUCCUUAGCUUAAAAGAAGCUGAGAAAUGACCCAUUGCAGAACUGUUAAGAUGAAUCCAUCAGCCUUCAGUGAGUGCUAAAAGGUAGGGGAGGAAAUCUUUUUUUUUUUUUUUUUAAUCUUAUCAAGUCAGUGGAAUAACU
This is a long non-coding RNA of Mauremys reevesii (Reeves's turtle), 415 nucleotides long. RefSeq lists it as uncharacterized. The record is from RefSeq and is a predicted model, not a curated record. NCBI's taxonomy places the organism in Eukaryota, Metazoa, Chordata, Testudines, Geoemydidae. The transcript has 4 exons.